CGUGUAGGCGGCCUCUUAAGUCUGGUGUGAAACGCCCGGGGCUUACCCCCGGAAGGGCACUGGAAACUGGGAGGCUGGAGUACCGGAGAGGAGGGUGGAAUUCCUGGUGUAGCGGUGAAAUGCGUAGAUAUCAGGAGGAACACCGGUGGCGAAGGCGGCCCUCUGGACGGAUACUGACGCUGAGACGCGAAAGCGUGGGGAGCAAACAGGAUUAGAUACCCUGGUAGUCCACGCUGUAAACGAUGGGCACUAGGUGUUCGGGGUAUUGACCCCCUGAGUGCCGCAGCUAACGCAUUAAGUGCCCCGCCUGGGGACUACGGCCGCAAGGUUAAA
This 333-nucleotide ribosomal RNA is filed under the name uncultured bacterium. RNAcentral describes it as "bacterial SSU rRNA". It matches the Rfam family "Bacterial small subunit ribosomal RNA", at positions 568 to 898 of the family's 1533-position model. The record is from RNAcentral.